Molecule: ribosomal RNA, 861 nt
Filed under: Triticum aestivum (bread wheat)
Lineage: Eukaryota; Viridiplantae; Streptophyta; Magnoliopsida; Poales; Poaceae
Description: partial small subunit ribosomal RNA
Source: RNAcentral
AUGGCGAAAUGCUGGCUGCUGCUCCAAUUCUUGGCGUUCCUCUUGCCGGCGACGAGUGCUACGUCGUGCCACACUGACGACCUUCAUGCGCUGCAGGGCUUCGCCGGGAAUCUCAGUGGUGGCGGCGUGCUCCUACGCGCUGUUUGGACCGGUGUCUCGUGCUGCGGCUGGGAAGGUGUGAGCUGCGACGGCACAAGUGGACGCGUCACGGGGCUUCGGCUACCCGGGCGCGGCCUUGCGGGGCCCAUCCCUAGAGCAUCCUUGGCGGGCCUCGCGCAGCUGGAGGAGCUCAACCUUGCCAACAACAAACUGAUCGGCACCAUCCCAUCGUGGAUUGGUGAGCUUGAUCACCUAUGCUACUUGGAUCUUUCCGACAAUUUAUUGGUUGGCGAGGUAUCCAAGAGUUUGAUACAGCUCAAGGGCUUCGCCACUACUGGUCGUUCAUUGGGUAUGGCUUUCACUAACAUGCCAUUGUAUGUGAAGCGUAGCAGACGAACACUCCAACAACAACAACCCAAUAUCAUAUCUGGGACCAACAACAAAGUCCGAUCUGGUAGAACCAAUGUUGUAUCCGGGAACGACAACACAGUUGUAUCUGGGAAUGACAACACUGUUGCUGGGAGCAACAAUACCAUCACAACUGGGAGCGGCAAUACCGUAACUGGUAGUAACCAUGUUGUUUCUGGGACCAAACAUAUUGUAACUGACAACAACAAUGUUGUUUCCGGGAUAGACAAUAAUGUAUCCGGGAGCUUCCACACCGUAUCCGGGACUCUCAAUACCGUAUCCGGGAGCAACAAUACCGUAUCUGGGAGCAACCAUGUUGUGUCUGGGAGCAACAAAGUUGUGACAGGAGGUUAA